GUGAGUAGUUCUAGAGUUUGAUCCUGGCUCAGGAUGAACGCUGGCGGCGUGCUAACACAUGCAAGUUGAGCGAUCUUCUUCGGAAGAGAGCGGCGGACGGGUGAGUAACGCGUGGGUAACCUGCCCUGUACACACGGAUAACAUACCGAAAGGUAUGCUAAUACGGGAUAAUAUGUUUUGGAUGCAUGUUCGAAACAUCAAAGCUCCGGCGGUACAGGAUGGACCCGCGUCUGAUUAGCUAGUUGGUGAGGUAAUGGCUCACCAAGGCGACGAUCAGUAGCCGACCUGAGAGGGUGAUCGGCCACAUUGGAACUGAGACACGGUCCAA
RNAcentral lists this ribosomal RNA (328 nucleotides) under uncultured bacterium. Its description in RNAcentral is "bacterial SSU rRNA". It matches the Rfam family "Bacterial small subunit ribosomal RNA", at positions 1 to 334 of the family's 1533-position model. The record is from RNAcentral.